UUAACUUUCGAAUAUAUGUACAAUUAGGUCGUUAAGAAAUGUCACCUUUCAAAUCUCAUAAGGCGUGAUCAAAGACUCCUAGAUGCAUCAGUAGGGGAGAAUGGAGAGAAAUGGAGUGUUGGAGAAAGGCAACUUCUGUGCCUAGCAAGAGCAUUGCUAAAGAAGAAAAGAAUAUUGGUGUUAGAUGAGGCGACAGCUUCGGUUGAUGCAGCUACGGAUAAUGCAAUGCAGGAGACGAUAAGUCAAGAGACAACCGGAUGCACUCUCAUAACCGUGGCGCAUAGAAUACCUAGCAUAAUGAAGCAUGACUUAGUUCUCCUUUUAGACAACGGGAAGGUUAAAGAGUAUGACUUGCCAAGAAAAUUGUUUCAAGAUAAGUCUUCUUGUUUUUACAAGUUGGUAGAAGAAUAUGUGGGAAGAUCAGAAUCCAACUCCUUAGUAUAACAAAUUUAUACGCAAUGCAAUGUUGAAAUUUCUUGUAACAAAUAAAGUCCACCCUCCACUUACAAUUAGGCAGAAUAGAAUUCAAUUUCAUUUUAUAGAAUUAUUUUUUAAUAUUUCUAAUACUUCUUUUUUGUUUUUCCAAAU
This is a non-coding RNA of Carica papaya (papaya), 588 nucleotides long. The record is from RefSeq and is a predicted model, not a curated record. NCBI's taxonomy places the organism in Eukaryota, Viridiplantae, Streptophyta, Magnoliopsida, Brassicales, Caricaceae.